RNAcentral lists this ribosomal RNA (497 nucleotides) under uncultured bacterium. RNAcentral's name for it is "partial 16S ribosomal RNA". It matches the Rfam family "Bacterial small subunit ribosomal RNA", at positions 28 to 507 of the family's 1533-position model. The record is from RNAcentral.
GAUGAACGCUGGCGGCGUGCCUAAUACAUGCAAGUCGAGCGAACAGACGAGGAGCUUGCUCCUCUGACGUUAGCGGCGGACGGGUGGGUAACACGUGGAUAACCUACCUAUAAGACUGGGAUAACUUCGGGAAACCGGAGCUAAUACCGGAUAAUAUAUUGAACCGCAUGGUUCAAUAGUGAAAGACGGUUUUGCUGUCACUUAUAGAUGGAUCCGCGCCGCAUUAGCUAGUUGGUAAGGUAACGGCUUACCAAGGCAACGAUGCGUAGCCGACCUGAGAGGUUGAUCGGCCACACUGGAACUGGGACACGGUCCAGACUCCUACGGGAGGCAGCAGUAGGGAAUCUUCCGCAAUGGGCGAAAGCCUGACGGAGCAACGCCGCGUGAGUGAUGAAGGUCUUCGGAUCGUAAAACUCUGUUAUUAGGGAAGAACAAAUGUGUAAGUAACUAUGCACGUCUUGACGGUACCUAAUCAGAAAGCCACGGCUAACUACGUG